AUACGGAGGAUCCGAGCGUUAUCCGGAUUUAUUGGGUUUAAAGGGUGCGUAGGUGGUUUGAUAAGUCAGCGGUGAAAGUUUGCAGCUUAACUGUAAAAAUGCCGUUGAAACUGUCGGACUUGAGUGUAAAUGAGGUAGGCGGAAUGCGUGGUGUAGCGGUGAAAUGCAUAGAUAUCACGCAGAACUCCGAUUGCGAAGGCAGCUUACUAAGCUACAACUGACACUGAAGCACGAAAGCGUGGGGAUCAAACAGGAUUAGAUACCCUGGUAGUCCACGCAGUAAACGAUGAUUACUAGCUGUUUGCGAUACACAGUAAGCGGCACAGCGAAAGCGUUAAGUAAUCCACCUGGGGAGUACGCCGGCAACGGUGAAACUCAAAGGAAUUGACGGG
This 392-nucleotide ribosomal RNA is filed under the name uncultured bacterium. RNAcentral describes it as "partial 16S ribosomal RNA". It matches the Rfam family "Bacterial small subunit ribosomal RNA", at positions 523 to 917 of the family's 1533-position model. The record is from RNAcentral.